Molecule: ribosomal RNA, 1246 nt
Filed under: metagenome
Description: bacterial LSU rRNA
Rfam family: Bacterial large subunit ribosomal RNA
Source: RNAcentral
UGAAUACGAGACGCUAAGGCGUCGAAGUAGUGUAUGUCAUACUUCCAAGAAAAGCUUGCACUGUCAUAGAUAAAAAACGCCUGUACCAUAACCGACACAGGUGGGUAGGUAGAGUAUACUAAGGGGCGCGAGAUAACUCUCUCUAAGGAACUCGGCAAAAUAACUCCGUAACUUCGGGAGAAGGAGUGCCUUAUUCGUAAGGUUGCAAUAACAAGAUCCAAGCAACUGUUUAUCAAAAACACAGGUCUCCGCUAAGUCGUAAGACGAUGUAUGGGGGCUGACGCCUGCCCAGUGCCAGAAGGUUAAAGAAGUUGGUUAGCAAUUGCGAAGCUGAUAACUGAAGCCCUGGUGAACGGCGGCCGUAACAAUAACGGUCCUAAGGUAGCGAAAUUCCUUGUCGGGUAAGUUCCGACCCGCACGAAAGGCGUAAUGAUUUGGAUACUGUCUCGGAGAGGGGCUCGGUGAAAUAGACUUGUCUGUGAAGAUGCGGACUACCUGCACCAGGACAGAAAGACCCUAUGAAGCUUUACUGUAACUUGAAAUUGAAAUUGGACUUUAUUCGCGCAGUAUAGGUGGGAGGCGUUGAUUAUAAUCUUGUGGGAUUAUUGGAGCCGUCAGUGAGAUACCACUCUUGUAAUGUUAGAUUUCUAACUUUGAAUCAUUAUCUGGUCAAAGAACAGUUUCAGGCGGGCAGUUUGACUGGGGCGGUCGCCUCCUAAACGGUAACGGAGGCGUACAAAGGUUUCCUCUGAACGGUUAGAAAUCGUAUCUAGAGUGUAAAGGCAUAAGGAAGCUUGACUGUGAGACCUACAAGUCGAGCAGGGACGAAAGUCGGUCUUAGUGAUCUGACGGUACUGAGUGGAAAGGCCGUCACUCAACGGAUAAAAGUUACUCUAGGAUAACAGGCUGAUCUCCCCCAAGAGUUCACAUCGACGGGGAGGUUUGGCACCUCGAUGUCGGCUCAUCGCAUCCUGGGGCGGUAGUACGUCCCAAGGGUUGGGCUGUUCGCCCAUGAAAGCGGUACGCGAGCUGGGUUCAGAACGUCGUGAGACAGUUCGGUCCAUAUCCGGUGUAGGCGUUAGAAUAUUGAGAGGAGCCUUCUUUAGUACGAGAGGACCGAGAAGGACAUACCUCUGGUGUACCAGUUAUCGUGCCAACGGUAAACGCUGGGUAGCUAUGUCUGGAGUGGAUGACCGCUGAAAGCAUCUAAGUGGGAAGCCCACCUCAAGAUAAGUAUUCUCAUCAC